GAUGAACGCUGGCGGCGUGCCUAAUACAUGCAAGUCGAGCGAACAGACGAGGAGCUUGCUCCUCUGACGUUAGCGGCGGACGGGUGAGUAACACGUGGAUAACCUACCUAUAAGACUGGGAUAACUUCGGGAAACCGGAGCUAAUACCGGAUAAUAUAUUGAACCGCAUGGUUCAAUAGUGAAAGACGGUUUUGCUGUCACUUAUAGAUGGAUCCGCGCCGCAUUAGCUAGUUGGUAAGGUAACGGCUUACCAAGGCAACGAUGCGUAGCCGACCUGAGAGAGUGAUCCGCCACACUGGAGCUGCGACGCGGUCCAGACUCCUACGAGAGGCAGCAGUAGGGAAUCUUCCGCAAUGGGCGAAAGCUUGACGGAGCAACGCCGCGUGAGUGAUGAAGGUCUUCGGAUCGUAAAACUCUGUUAUUAGGGAAGAACUAAUGUGUAAGGAACUAUGCACGUCUUGACGGUACCUAAUCAGAAAGCCACGGCUAACUACGUG
This 497-nucleotide ribosomal RNA is filed under the name uncultured bacterium. Its description in RNAcentral is "partial 16S ribosomal RNA". It matches the Rfam family "Bacterial small subunit ribosomal RNA", at positions 28 to 507 of the family's 1533-position model. The record is from RNAcentral.